RNAcentral lists this ribosomal RNA (343 nucleotides) under Rhizobium leguminosarum. RNAcentral describes it as "bacterial SSU rRNA". It matches the Rfam family "Bacterial small subunit ribosomal RNA", at positions 1200 to 1533 of the family's 1533-position model. Lineage: Bacteria; Pseudomonadati; Pseudomonadota; Alphaproteobacteria; Hyphomicrobiales; Rhizobiaceae. The record is from RNAcentral.
CCUUAUGACCUGGGCUACACACGUGCUACAAUGGAUAGUACAAAGGGUCGCGAAGCCGCGAGGUGGAGCUAAUCCCAUAAAACUAUUCUCAGUUCGGAUUGUAGGCUGCAACUCGCCUACAUGAAGCCGGAAUCGCUAGUAAUCGUGGAUCAGCAUGCCACGGUGAAUACGUUCCCGGGCCUUGUACACACCGCCCGUCACACCACGAGAGUUUGUAACACCCGAAGUCGGUAGGGUAACCUUUAUGGAGCCAGCCGCCGAAGGUGGGACAGAUAAUUGGGGUGAAGUCGUAACAAGGUAGCCGUAUCGGAAGGUGCGGCUGGAUCACCUCCUUUCUAAGGAA